UGCGAAGGUAGCAUAAUAAUUUGUCUUAUAAUUAAAGAAUGGAAUGAAUGGUUUGACUAGGGUAUAGCCGUCUCUUAUAUAUUUUUUAAAAGUUAAUUUUUAAGUUAAAAGGCUUAAAUUGGAUUAAAAGACGAGAAGACCCUAUUGAGCUUAAUAAAGAAUAUAAUUAAUUACAAUUAUAAUAUAAAUAAAAAUUAGUAUUGAAAUUUUGGUUGGGGCGACUGAGGAAUAAAGAAAGCUUCCUUAAUAAAUUGAGAAAGAUAUUUUUAUAUCCAAAGAAUUUUGAAUUGAAAACAAGUUACCAUAGGGAUAACAGCGUUAUUUUUUUUGAGAGUUCUAAUCGAAAAAAAAGUUUGCGACCUCGAUGUUGGAUUAGGAGUAAGGUAAGGUUGCAGAAGCUUUAUAUAUUUAGUCUGUUCGACUAUUAAUUUCCU
Molecule: ribosomal RNA, 434 nt
Filed under: Diplommatina calvula
Lineage: Eukaryota; Metazoa; Mollusca; Gastropoda; Architaenioglossa; Diplommatinidae
Description: partial 16S ribosomal RNA
Rfam family: Bacterial large subunit ribosomal RNA
Source: RNAcentral